This 106-nucleotide transfer RNA is filed under the name Phaeomoniella chlamydospora. It matches the Rfam family "tRNA". From Rfam's summary of the family: Transfer RNA (tRNA) molecules are approximately 80 nucleotides in length. Their secondary structure includes four short double-helical elements and three loops (D, anti-codon, and T loops). The record is from Rfam by way of RNAcentral. Lineage: Eukaryota; Fungi; Ascomycota; Eurotiomycetes; Phaeomoniellales; Phaeomoniellaceae.
GGGCAUGUGGUCUAGUGGUAUGACAUUCGCUUAGCAAAUAAUCUGAUGAUUUCAUAUUGUUGGUGUCAUUUGCGAAAGGUCCUGGGUUCAAUUCCCAGCUUGUCCA